This is a long non-coding RNA of Lolium perenne, 661 nucleotides long. RefSeq lists it as uncharacterized. The record is from RefSeq and is a predicted model, not a curated record. Lineage: Eukaryota; Viridiplantae; Streptophyta; Magnoliopsida; Poales; Poaceae.
UCCUUAUGCAUCCGCGGGUCACUUUAACUUGUUCUCCAUCGAUAAGCAUACAUGUACUGUGUCUGUUAUUGAUCCUUGGUCCAUGCCGCCAUCGUCGGAGGGUAAAAUGGUUCGAUCGCAUAAGAUGAAAUUGAUCUUACAAAGAAUUGCAAUCUACCUAACCGACGCACUUCCAUUAGCACAACCUGGUUGGGAUGCCGAUAUAUUUUUCUGGCCACGCACGUCGCCAACUGAUAUUCCGCAAAGUUCAAGCAUGUGAGUAUCUCUAGAAUAAAACACAUAUGUUUUAAUUUCUUCGGUAAUUAAGAUAAUAACGAGUCAUUUAUCUACAGAAAGCGUCUAGUUAUUUCAUUUUUUAUAUUAUGUUCUCAUGGAAUGGUAAAAAGUUGGUUCAUCCAAUAUGCACGAAUGUUAUCGACCUGAGGAAGAAUUUUUUGGUACGCUUGCUCAAGUACCAUCAAAAUGAAGCACUCGAAAAUAUUCCAUACAUUGUACGACAUACUCUAAGGAGUAUCGAGGAGGACAUUUUUUAAAUAUAAAAUAGUUAAUUAGUGGAGUACUUAUUGCAUAUUCAAACGAUGUCAAUUAUAUGGUUGUUAAAUAUAUUUCAGACUGGUUAGAAUCUUAUAAGUUUUUCUAAAUAUCUUGUGAUUUUGAUACA